UACGGAGGGUGCAAGCGUUAUCCGGAUUCACUGGGUUUAAAGGGUGCGUAGGUGGGUUGGUAAGUCAGUGGUGAAAUCCCCGAGCUUAACUUGGGAACUGCCAUUGAUACUAUCAGUCUUGAAUACCGUGGAGGUUAGCGGAAUAUGUCAUGUAGCGGUGAAAUGCAUAGAUAUGACAUAGAACACCAAUUGCGAAGGCAGCUGGCUACACAAAUAUUGACGCUGAUGCACGAAAGCGUGGGGAUCAAACAGG
Molecule: ribosomal RNA, 253 nt
Filed under: uncultured bacterium
Lineage: Bacteria
Description: partial 16S ribosomal RNA
Rfam family: Bacterial small subunit ribosomal RNA
Source: RNAcentral